RNAcentral lists this ribosomal RNA (2163 nucleotides) under Triticum aestivum (bread wheat). RNAcentral describes it as "partial small subunit ribosomal RNA". Lineage: Eukaryota; Viridiplantae; Streptophyta; Magnoliopsida; Poales; Poaceae. The record is from RNAcentral.
AUGGCCGACGCCCACGACGCACCGCUGGUGCGCCUCUCGUGCUUCCACGGCGACGACAGGUGGACGGACUUCGUCCGUGGCAGGUGGGCGGCGGACCCGUGCGCCCCCAUCGAGGCCGCCUACGUCGACGCCGUUGGCCGGCUCCCCGUCCACGAGAUGCCAGACCUCUUCGACUGCCUCUACCGCGGCGGGCACUGCGUCGGCCUCCUCGACCCCGCCUCCAACGUCAUCCUCAACGGCCUCACCCUCCUCUGCCGUCGCCGCAGCGGCGCCUACUCGCCGCCGGAGGAGGACCGCUUCCCGCCACCGCCGGAUCCUCGGCAUGUGAGCAACUGGGGGUCCAUCGCCUUCAGAUCUUACAAUGGCCUCCGCGCCUUCAUGCACACGUACUUCCGGUACCUCAACGAUGACCAAGCUCGGUUCUACCUCCACCUCUCCGGCGGGGACCUCCUCGUCGCCAUCCGGAUCGCCGAGCUCGAGCAGUUGGCCGCCGUCGAAGGGGCCGUUGAUCAGGCCACCGUCGGCCGCCACCCAGACCUCCUCCGCGAACGAGCCCAGUUCGCUCUCGCCGUUGCUGCCAUCAAAGCAAAGCACCCCAUGCCCGACGACCUCCUGCUGCUCUGCCAGCCAGCGCUCCAGGAGACGGCCGACGACAUGAAAGACGUCCUCGCCACCUUGGAGGAAGGGCGGCGCCUCACCGUCCAUGACGUCGAGGCCAUCCUCGGCGUUCUAAAAUCGCAGCUGCGCCAUCGCACGGUCUGCUCCCGUCUGCAACUCACCUUCACACAACGAGGACGCGGCGAGACCUUGCAUUACCGCCUCAACGGCCAACAUGGAGGAGGCCUGCAGUUCCAGCAGUGCGCGCCAUUCAGCCUCGCCAGCCUGCGCUCUCCCGAGGCCGUGCGGCGCAAGCUCGAAUCCAGCCUCGCGCUCAUCCCCGAGCACACUCCGCACACGCCGGCGGAGGUGGCCGACGCGCCCCCGACAUGCGGGCACAUCGAGUACCUCAAGACGGGGCUCCUGGACGUCAUCCACGCCAUGUACGUCGAGGCGCUCGCCAGCUUGCCCCGCGCCGCGCUCCGGCGUGUCCUCCGCGGCAUCCUAGUCGCCGGGCACUGCUACGGCCCCAUGGACCCCGCGUCCAACAUCAUCAUCCAUGCCGCUUGGUACAGCGUCAUCGCGCCCCCGUUGCGCCCCAGCAUCGAGCCGGACGUGCUCGGCGUAGACGCCCUGCUUCGCCUCGAGGUCCACUCCCUCGACGGCCUCGUCGCCGCCGUCCGUGUCGCCACUGGCUUCUCAGAGCACCAGGCCGUGGAGCACCUCAGCACCAACCGCUGCGACAUAUCUGACAUGCUUCGGAGGGCGGCGCCGGAGACACGCGGCCAAGCCUUUUAUCGUGCCAGCGAGGCCGCCAGACACCCCCUCGGAGAGCACCACUCGUCGUUCCUCGCAUCCCUGGCCUCCUCAGGGCCGAAAUUUCUGGACACCUUGAGCUCCUUGCUGCGCUCCGGAGAAGACAAAGGGCCGCGCCAUUUGAUCUCUGCUGCCAGCGUCACAGAGUUGCAGAAAAUGCUAGGACGCCGGUGCUCUCCCAUCACCCCACUCCCAGCACCAAGUCACUUGGAUGGUCUUCCAGCAAGGAAGCAAUGGUUGGAGAAGAGGCAGAGGUUUCUACGGACAGAGCUUGAACAACUCCUCCGCGGCUACGCCGAUCAGCACCCAUGGGAACCAACAUUUGAGCUGGAAAUCAUCUGCGGCGUGGCGAAAGAGAGCGCCUAUCUCUCCUCCCAUUGCUACCACAUCAACUUCCUCGCCGCGGCAUCCGACGGCACGCGAAUGCUCUUCUUCGCUCAGGUUUGGGAGGAGAAGAGACCCAACAACACCGAGCAGUGCUUCAGUCUCUGGGUUCGUUACCACGACAGAGAAUCGGAGGUCUCCUUCUGCUGUCCCCUGCCUUACUACAGCCCAAAUGAUGCAUAUCUUGGGCGGUGCACCAUUUGCGAGUUUGGCAUGAGUAAAAUUGUGCAUCCACCUGUUGGCCUGCAUAUCGGAGCGACGCACACUGAUUUUGGAAAGACACGUCCGCUUGGCUCAAAUUUGAAGGUGUCCUCUCGUGCGGACGGCAUCGUAGACACGGUGAUGACCCAGAACAAAUGCGCUUAA